UAAUUCUCUAGUGGCGCACGGGUGAGUAACACGUGAGUAACCUGCCCCCGACGAGCGGGAUAGCCCUGGGAAACUGGGAUUAAUACCGCAUAGUAUCGAAAGAUUAAAGCAGCAAUGCGCUUGGGGAUGGGCUCGCGGCCUAUUAGUUAGUUGGUGAGGUAACGGCUCACCAAGGCGAUGACGGGUAGCCGGUCUGAGAGGAUGUCCGGCCACACUGGAACUGAGACACGGUCCAGACACCUACGGGAGGCAGCAG
RNAcentral lists this ribosomal RNA (256 nucleotides) under uncultured bacterium. RNAcentral's name for it is "partial 16S ribosomal RNA". It matches the Rfam family "Bacterial small subunit ribosomal RNA", at positions 85 to 354 of the family's 1533-position model. The record is from RNAcentral.